GUAAACACUUGUUCCCAUGCGAUCACCGAAGUUAAGCAACGUCGAACCUGGUCAGAAACUAGAUGGCUGAUCGUUUGAGAAUACCAGGUGUUGUAAG
This is a non-coding RNA of Acanthosepion pharaonis, 97 nucleotides long. The record is from the annotation of a GenBank genome assembly. Lineage: Eukaryota; Metazoa; Mollusca; Cephalopoda; Sepiida; Sepiidae.